Molecule: long non-coding RNA, 15263 nt
Organism: Gasterosteus aculeatus aculeatus (three-spined stickleback)
Lineage: Eukaryota; Metazoa; Chordata; Actinopteri; Perciformes; Gasterosteidae
Source: Ensembl
UUUUUGGGGAAUGAUUAGGUUUGUCGCCAUGCUGCUAAACAACAGCAAAAUCGUCUCCAGGACCGUUUCUAAUAGAGGCUUUACUCCCAUUUCAGGACCGUACACACAGACAGCCAGAUGUUAUGUGUGGGGGUUUCAAAGGAAAUGGACCCGAGAAAAGACCGGACGGACUAAAGACCACGUGACGAGAGGUCACAUUUAGUCUUUUGCUGCACAUAUAGGCUACAGAGGGCUGCUUAGUGAAGAAGCUCACCUGCUGAUUAAUCAAUAUGGUGAGGAGUUGCGUGAAAGCAGGUUGCUCCCAAUGACAAAGCAACAAAGAAUAUUCCCCCAGUGCAGCUGUGUCCCUCACACAUCCACAAGGGGUGCUCGAGGAGAGCAGAAGCGCACCUGAACGAGCCUGGUGAGUUGUCAGUGGGAUCCUGUCGGAUCGACGGGUGGACCUGAAACCACUAUGAAUGAAGGAUGUGGUCGCUGGUAAACUGGUCUUUAGUGCGCAUCAGUGUUUUGAGGCAGAGUGCGUCGUACCAGCAGCUGUCACCGUCCUCCAGGGCCGGCUUUUGGAAGACCUUCAGUGCACACCGGAGACAACAGAUGGAGUUUGACAAGAAGCUGGCGUGAGGCAACACAAGAGGACCCGUAACAGUUGUGAACAGCAACAAAACGAUGACAAGCUGAGAACAGAGAAGAGUUUAAGUCCACUGUUGAGGUAAUUGGAAGCAGCUGAGAAAUAAUGGGGACCUCGCGGGGCGGCUGGGGCCAGAUUAGUCAAUGCAAGGUGUACUGUUGUUACACGUAUCAGGGUUUGAAACGAACUCGUUUCAGGGAGCCACAGCAUCUUUUUUAAAGCAAAUGCUGAAUUGGCUAAAUGAAUAAUAAUAGAAAGGAGAUCUGUCGAGUGGGGGAAACCAAGUGUUGGAACUAACUGAUUUAUGGAGUCUGAGUGGGGGGAGAAUAAACUGUGAGUGGGAUAUUGAAAGGCGGUCGCCAUAGAGAACUCCAGGUAUCGACCGCCGGUUAAGAGGACUGUUAGCUCCCAGUCCAAGAAUAAACUGAUAAGACGGACCGAGAUUGGAUCCGUGCGUUAGAGCAUACGGCUUUUCCAUGCUAUCUGAAACAUUCGAGUGCUGGCUGCUUCUCAUUUAUGCCCCCACCCCCCCACCCUCUCCUCCCGCCGACUCCCUCACAUCCCAUCCCAGCCAUCUCGGCAGGGACCCUGUGUUCUGUGUGCCGCGCCGACCCAGCCCUGCAGUGGACCGUGCCAUUCGAUCCACGCAGCCGAUGAUGAUUCACGCUCUGCGAUCCGGGGAGUGAGAGCAGGCAGAGGAAUCCCCCCCCCCUUCUCUCACCUUCCUCCCACCCUGCACAUCCAUAAUUCAGCAUUUGCGCCUUCGCCACACAACCCACCCCUCCCUCCUGUCUCUUUCAUCCCAUUGCUUUGGCUGCUGGCGUGCGCACCACAGCGCGGCGUCCACAAGCCCGAGUGCCCGCCGUCAGCAAUCCGGCCAUCUGGAGCUCCACGUCGAGCGGCGCAGGUAAGGCGAGAGCGAAACAAGUGCUUCUUCGUCGUUUGUGGGGCGUGAAGUAUACAUGUCGGCUGCAGGCGUCUUUUUAAGUCCUUUGGCUGAGUUGCUUCCUAAUUUACUCAUUUAGAAGAAAUGGAUUUUUGAAGUAGAGACUUGGUGAAACUGUUGCUAUGGUACCGAUGAAUGAGGAAUAAAACCUGCGCGGGGGGGUUCAUUCGAAAUUGUUGGUGCGUCAGCCAUUGGUAAAUAAUAAAAGUUGAAUUAAUGUUCCCAGGUGAGACAAUAAGCCCACCAUCCCCACCACACACACACACCAUUGUGCGAGCUACCUGAAUCCACUCAUGAGGUGAAACACCUGAGCUCAUCAUGUGAGUUCAACCGCUGGGCUGUUUGGUGGAGCUCAGAGGAAGCUGCCCUGUGCUGCUUCGCCAGACAGAGGCUCACUAACAGGAUAAAACCCUGCUGCUUUUUAUUUCAUGGUGCAUGGAAGCAUCCUGUUGCUGACUGAGGAUUUACGGUGUGCUCGGAUUAUUGAGAUCGCUGCUCUGGCUGCAAUGCAUAAAUGAUUUGAUCAGAUAUCUGUGCGUUUGGGAUCUGAAAAACACCCUCUGAAUAUGUGGCAUGUUUAUCGAUGUCCAAAAGAGGGGAAUAUAUUUUAGUGAGGUGUUAAGUCAACUAUGUAAGUACUGUUCAAACAGACGGUUACAUUUGCAGUAAGUGGGGAGAAACGACACGAGGGGAACAUUGAUUUGCCUUGUGUGUGAUUUAAAACACAACAGAUUAGAGACAUUUAAACAUUUUGAAGUUUAAACACGUCUGGUUGAGAAAUGACAUCCCAAAUAAUGAAUAUUUUAAAGCGGAUGCGUUGAGGAAAUGUUGUGCGUCUGUCUCGUCCAUGUGUGCACGUCGGCCGGAGGUUGAAAAGCAAAGUGAGGCUCGCCUGAGGCCAGUGAACUGAUUUGAUUGACAGUGCCGUACCGUUCACGCUAUUUUUGUCAUUUCCGUUUCAUGUUGCAGCAGGUGUAGAAGAGGAUAAUGACAAGAGCAACAGAAGGGAACGGGGAGAGUCAGACAAUGUGUAACAUCUCAUUCAGGCUGUCUGCACACGAGAGAGUGCCGAUGUGCCCGGAAGCCCGGGCCUGACGCAAGAUUGUCAACGCAGCUGGAUUUCAAAGGGGCUCCUUCAGAGCUGGAUUGCUGUCGAGACUCUUUUUCCAUCGACUGAGACGCGCGGGAAAGUAACUAAAACAGCGACAAAGCCGAUCCAACCACUCGCGCACAGCGAGCUUCAUAGGCCCUUCUCUUCAUAUUACGCAAUCACCCUCCACCCUCCCACGUUGCCCCACGCUGGCUCAUAUGCAUCGCUAAGGGCGGAGCUUCUCGUGCUCGUUGAUACAGGGCGAUGAAGUUCGAACGCCGAAAAGGUGCUUCGAAAUCAAACUGACGUCGUUGUCGUCACCCGAUUGAAUUCAGCUCUUGGAAACUGAACCCAGUGUGUAUUUAUAUUCACUGCAAUCGGGAAGGUAAACUAUAUAAUUAAGACUCUCGUCUUUCUGGCGACAUAUGCGGCGGUAAUUUGUAAGAGCUGAGCUGUGAUGAGCCUUUAAAGAGGUGUUUGUGCACAUUGCAUCCAGGAGAUCAGCUGUCAAUCAGUCAUUGCAAGGAGACACCGCUCGAGUUAAAAAUGUUGCUGUUUUUCUCUAUUGGGGUCAACGUCAAUAGAAAUGCUGCACAUCAUACAUUUGGAAAACACACACACAGGAUUCCCUGUGUUAUUUUAGCCAGAGUACUUUAUAAUGAGGCCUGGAUGUAAUUACACGUCCUGUUCACAUAUUCAUAGCUUAAGCACUCUUUGCUGGCUUGUUAGUGCUUUGCAGACUGAUGUGCAUUCACAGCCUCUGCUUAUGAUGACCAUGCAUUGAAAUUAAUUCAUGAACGGUUCCCAUAGACCAAUAAAAGAAGAGUGCGCCCUUGUGAGCCCACCUACUGGUUUGUUAAGAGCUGUGGUGAAGCUCAAAGCUCUAUCCCUUAUUAGAAGGGUCAUAAUGCAGUUUAAACAGGAUGUUUGAAACAACGACAUCCACUUUAUAUUCACUGACAGCUGUUUUGACAAAACAUUUUUUUUUUCCUUCGUACCGGGCUGGAAACAUGUUUGUUUCUACUGUAAAAUUGGGCACUUUAACAUGGACGCCGGGGGAAAUGAGUCACUUUUGAAGCCAGCCAGAAGUGCUGAUUUAAAGAACUGCAAUUGUCACUUCUUCGUUUGAUAAAAAUCACACGGCGGAAGCCUGUGGAUAAACAGCUGUUUGUGCCCUUUAGCCUCUUUAUAUCAGACUCCAAAGAGCAUUAUUUGCAAAUAAAUGCAUGAAAAUAGGUUUUUUGUUUACAUGUCAUCAUUUGCUGCUUUCUCAGUAGUGGAAGAGGUGUGACCACGUGAUCCUGCCGCGGUGAUAUCUUUAUGUUCGAAUGUGAUGAUGUCAUUGGUUUGGUAUUAAUUUGUCCCUUAAUCGGCUUGUUUGAGUUCAUGUGGUGUCCAUGUCACCAUGAUCUUCAGUUACUGAUGGCACCUGUGUUUGCAUAGAUCACAGAUGCAUGUGAUGUGCAUAAGCUUAAAUUCAUCAUGUGUGCAUAUAUAUAAAAUAUACAUGCUUACUAGAUAAGUAUGAGUAGAGGCAUCAUAUCUGCAUGAGUCAUACUUUUUUUUUUUUUUUGGAAGGAAAAUGUUCAAUAUUUGUACCACAAAACUGAUUCUGCUUUGCUUAAUCAGACAUUGAUAAAUGAUUAAACUUUAACCUCACACGUACGUUGUAUCCAGGCCACAAAAGGUUCAGGAAAUUUCAUUAUGAGAAUGAAAUGAUGAAACACAGAGGCUGAGGCGUCAUUCACUAAUAUUAAAGAUAAUGCCGCUCCUGUUUGAAUGGGCCUAUUAGCAUUUGGGUUUCAGAGCUAACAGGAUUGUUGCGCCUUCCAUCGAGCCGUUGAUUAAAAAUGCCUCCAGCAGAUGUGCCUGAUUAACCAGCUGCUACCUGAUAGCAGAACACAAUAAGAACAACGGCGGCAAAGCUGUGUGGUCAAAUUCAAAAAGCCGUCUGAAUGCCUUCAGACGGAACAGCAACGAGCUGCUUUUUCGCUCUCUCACAGACGUACUUCUGGAAUAACAAGUCGGACCGUCAAUAAAAACAUUCUCCGAACGCCUCUUUACUUCAUGUUGAGUCACCUGAAUAUGUGACCAACGGUUAGCGACCGUUGACCCCUCAUGACGGAGCGACGCAGAACACUCUCUUCAUCGAAUGGUCCAACCCAAUAAAGAUUGGAUUUCAAGUACUGAAUGCAAAUGAGCUCCUACAUCUUUCGAAGGAACACAUUAGGCUUCUUGAAAGUGAUGGAAAUAAGUUAUAAACAGCUCUGCAUCGCAUGGCGUCUUCAAUGCUUCGCUCGCUGUGCAGAGUGUGUCUGGGGGAGUGCCCUUUAAAAGAAUCCUUUGAUGGCAUUUCUCAAUCAUUAGUCGGCUGGAAGAAAAAAGGGAGAAGAGAUGCGUGAGAGGCGGUUCCAGGCGAAGCCGGAGACGCUGUCUUCAUUGUGAACAUCUUAAGAGCUUCAGUUAUUCACGUGUCAGUUUCCUCCUUUUAGGCUGGUAAUCAUCUCUAAGGAAUAAACACUGGCUUAUUUCACGCCGUUUUGUGAACCAAACUUGGAACAUUUAGAACGUCUAACUGUGACUUAUGACCAAUUCUUCGUUGUACUUUUCUGAUGAAUCACCCUUUAUUAUUCUGCGAUUACAUCCGCGGUGCAGCCAACAGACCUUUUGAUAUUUCCAGCCCGUAGCCUGUUUGGUGUCAUCUCAUUGAUCGUCAUUGAUUCAUUCCAAGCAGGGUGUUUACUUUGAUCAAUGGGUCUAAUGGGUAAAUACACAUUUCUCCCACUUGAGCCAGUCCACAGUAAUCUCCCCACGUGGCUGCGAGCUGAUAUGAUAUUGCUAAAAUACUAAUCUCUCAGGUCAAGAGGGUCGGUCUAUUUUCUUUCUUUCCUGUUCUUUGAUUUCCUUUCAAGCCAUUUCAUUUUUUUCUAUCUCAGUCCGGCCCUUUUUUUUUCUAAUGUGUCUGCGUGAAGAAGAUGAUUCUCCUGCACAUUUCACAGAGAGGUUGGUUAAAUUUUUGAGGUUUACUUGCUGUACAACUGCCCUGUGGUGGCACUUUGUUUCCAUUAGUGAUCUUCCAAGGGAUUCUUAAUAACAAACAGUAAUAUGCAUAAUACACAAAGAAGGGGGAUAGAGGCAUAUUUUGUUGUCUCAAGUAUGUCAACAAAGCAGCACGCAAAUAUUUUGAUCCAGUUUAUUUCAUUAACAUUUCGCCAACAGAAAAACACUGCAUUGACAGAUUGGGCUCAUCUGUAAACACACUCACCACAAAGUUGUGCCGUUUAUCUCCAGAACAAAAGCCCUCUGAGGGGCCUCCACUCAAACUGAAGUUUAACGUGUGUCAUCUGAUAAGUUAAAACAGUCCAGUUCACCAGGGAUUUUAUUAAAGCGUAAAACGUUUGGGAGGUUUCUGAUGGUUUUCCCUUCCCAAAGUACAUUUCCCUUUUUAACAUCAUUCCACCAAUUUAUUCACAGCCGCCGAUGGUGGCGGACGCAACGAGAAUAAGUAAAUAAAUGUCUAAUGCAGUUAACUCCUUUUCACCCCCUGUCACUAAUAAGGGACUCCAAAAAGAGUUGAACCAGUUCAUUGUUAUAAAAUAAAUUUAUUUUCUCAUUUAUUCUAGAUUCCGUGAUGUAAUGUUCCGUGUGCAUACAUCAUUUUUGUUGCGGCACCACAUGCAGAUUUUGGAUUCCCAAGUGGGCCGACAAAAGGAAUGUAUGCACACAUCGCCACGAAGAAAGCUCACGAGGUAGCGGAUGCAUACAUGCAAUCUAUUUUUACACGGCAGACAGGAAGCGGGGGAGCCUGUGCUACUUCACCCGGGCUCAAAGACACGCAUGCCGCCUCGACGGCGUAAGGUGAUUUUACGUACAACGCUGACACCUCAAAUGCUGCGGCGGUGAGAUAAAGUCUCCGUUUAAAUUGCCUCCAAUUUGAAAUUAGCUGUGGUUCUAAUAACAUCUUCCAUGAUUCCUUUUCCCCACAUGAGAAAAGCCAUUAUCCAGCAUCAGCACAGUACGUCGGCAUAUACUGCAGCAUAUACUGUGGCAUUUUGCUAUCAGUUCGGAGACUUUUGACAGCAUCCGGACUCCCCUUUUUUUUUUUUUUUAAAGAUUAAAAAGAACUCGUUCUGCCCCCCAAAAUGCGUCAGAGUGCAGCGAACAACAAACAGCAGCCGUUACAGUGUGUGUGACCCAAUUUUAUCAUAAUCUGCCCCGCACUGAGCCGUUCCACCAAAAGCGCCGCGGAAUAACUGCAUUUGUGAACACAGAAAUUGAAAGGCUGCCACUCUGGAAGUGCAGUGCAGAAAGUACUCGUCUUACAAAUUAUUUUCUCCGUUGUGUUGAAACAGCUGUCUUUGAAACGCGAGUGGCGAAUGUCACUGGCUUCUCAGGAAAGUGUGUUUGUGUAACGAGUUGUCGUGGGUCGAGUGUUGCCUUGACACUGUUGGAGUUGCCUUCUUUCUUUCAAGAUUUUGACAUUAACAUGAAUCUGGCUUUGUCAUUUUCUAAUAAUACACAUUUGUUUUUCCUAGAUCUCUUCGCGUUGUACGAGAUUAUGAUAAAUUAAGCUACUGAGGAGCUCUGAUUUGACAGAACACCCAUUUUAUGAGGUAGUUCCUCCCCUCCCAGUUAACAUCCUGAGAGUAUCUAAAAUCGGGGGCAUUCAAAUCGAGCUGCUAUUGACUCCAUUAGAACGAUGUCGGGGAUUACUUCAUCAUUAUUACAUUCUUUUUUUUGACAACCUCAACUCAGGUAAUUUCACAGGGCCGCUACUGCAAAUCAGCAAAAAUGGCCUGGAGUAGGUGGAGGGGGAUACAUAUUCACCGCCAGUGGCGCAGUCUUUAGCCAUGACCUAUUCUUACUGGCCAAUGGGAAAGAGAAGUGUGCCAGCAUGAUUAAUGGUCAUGAUUACCUACUCAGAAAAUGUGUUUUUCCGGCCCAGCAGCUCCACUUUUAUGACUUAAACCUGAGGGCAAGAUGGUUCAUCAUGCAGGCAAAGCUGCACACAGAGAGCGGCUGGUGAAGACCAAACAAAGGCUUCACCAUCGUCUGUCUCACACAGAGAGAGAGGAAAGCCUCGUGGAUUGUUGUUUAGACAUCUCUGUUGAAGACGUCCAUGUCCAUGAGCAUCAGCAUUUGUCUCAGGGGGUCUGCAGCUCGGCCCCCACCGAUCCCGAACUUCAGCUCACCUGUUUUCUCUGUAGAACAAAAACGGCGGCCGCGCUGCAUCCACCGAGGGCCACUUUCCAUCUGCAUGUUUUCAUGUUUGCACGCAGGUAAUACAGCCGGUGCCACUGUGGGAGCUGCUGUGUUUGUUCCAUCAUUAACCUCGAGUUAGUAUCUGUCACAAACACCGUCGCAGCCCUCAUUAUGACUCCGCAUCACUCCCCCUCCACCAAACGGCUGUGUAUCUCGCCAACGAGCCACAAAGGUUAUCCGCAAUAAAAGGUUACAGUUCCCUGUGACAUUUCCCUUGAUGACUUAUCUGAACCUCUGUCUUUGAUGAAUAUCAACCAGCUUGUUGCCACUCGGAGUUAUUCACUCGUUAAACCACAACUGUGAUCGAAUAUUUGAUCAAUGAUCAAAACCAGCAGCAGCAGCUGAUGCUUUCAACUUUAUAGCUGAGAUUUUAUGUUUAUUGUGACCUGCACCUGACGGUCAUAUUACAGUCACAUUAAUAAGAGCAAAUAACAUAUAAUACAUCAAUGCUUGGCAGUCCAGUAAUCUUCCACGUGAUUUUUUUGGCUAGGGAACAACAUUUCUUGUAGCAAACUCACCAUCAUCCAUCACUGAGCAGCUGAAAAUAUGAGAGCAGCCCAGGUUGUGCAUGCAGGGAGUUUUAAACGUGAAAAAUCUCAGUUCCUGGCUCGGUAGCCGCUGACUCACUGGUAAUCAACAACUUUACCAACCCCUGGAGAUAUAUUGUAGCCCUGAUUCUGCUACAGGAUCCUAAAGUCUUCCUCAUUGCACCUUUAACACAGUAUAAAUAUAUCAGUUAAUGUAUCUAGACAAAAUUGUGACUGGACUUUUGUAAGGCUUAAUUUAGCAAAAGGUUUUAGGCUGCAGUGACAACUUUAAUUUAGGACCCAGAAACCAGCCCGCUGUGAGAGAGUUACUGACGAUACAUUUGUCUGUGAAUAAAAGGCCACACACACCCACAGUUAUUGGGCUGUAAAGUACAGUCGACGGGAACCUCGAAUUGCCAAACCCCAAUUGAUGGAAUAGAACAUUUCAUGAAGUUCAGGUUCUUUUACUUAGAUUCAAGAAAAAUCCAUCUCGUCGGGCAUGAAGUAACGUGUUUGUUUCUGGACAACACGCGUCCAGACCCAUCAGCGUCCAGUGAGGAGCUCCCGGCAGCUACACGCAUUGUUUAGGUGUGUGUGUGUGCGUGUGUUGUUUUUGACGCAGCACAGAGAGGAAACUUCUACUACUUCACAACAAUGGCUGCUUGAGGAAAGCAUGGAUGAUACAAUCGCCCCUAUUAGACGGGAUUGACCUGGGAAAACAUUGAGAAAACAUCAGUCACAACCAACACUUCCCCAGCAGUCUCAUGGAAAUCAAUCAAAAGCACAUUUCAGAGGACCUUUGGUGACAGUGGCAGGCCAACCAUCAUCGAGGGGCAUCGGCCCGUCUGCUUUUGAAAUGAAAGCACCAGUUAUUUCCACGCACGCGCAGCCGUCCCUCCCCCUGCCGGCUGUUGCUGUGUUGCUGCGAGGAGGCCGACUGCAGCAGGUGAGCCACAGGGCCAAUUCAGUUUGGUGCCGCCAUGCAUGUGGUGCAUAGCUGCAAAAGCAAUUUGUGGUCCCACCCCAUCUCAUGCCCGAGAUUUAUUAUGGCCUGCUGUUUUUUUUUUUUUUUUUUUUUUAUAUAUCUAACUCCUUUUGAGAAAAGCAAAAGCAUUCCAGCAGUGACACUCAGCAGAAAAGCUCAGAUACCGGGGCGCUUAGACUAAAGAUUAGAGACAAGAGGUGCCCGGCUUAAAUCCUUGAACUGAAGGAAGUGAAUUGUAUGCUUUUGUGUAGGGAAUGUGUCCCCGGAAGUGCUGCUGCUCAGAGGCUUUGGGCUCUGCAGACUGUAGCAUGAAGCUGUGUAGCACAGUGGUUUUAGUGAAGAGCUUAGAAGUAUGUGUAUGUGCAGCAGCAGGUGUCUGAGUAGCUAUGCCAUCAAGCCCUCAUUACCUAGACUGUGAAAAUUGAAAAAUGUAAAUUGGAAAUAUAUUACAUGGUACUGUGAAUAAAUGUAUUUCUAAACAUGUUCUGAGUAAUAGAAAGAUAAGUUAACGGUGUGUUUUCAACCAAAAUGUUCUACGCAUUCAAAAGCAAAGGGAGUCUUGUAAAGUAGCCGUGAUGGAUUAUUCCUGAUAUGAUGCCACAAUCAUGAUCUUAUUCGCGAGUCAUACGCAGAGCCCGCCCACACAUCAUUGACUUCUAAGUACAUUCCAACAGUCCGUGUGCUUGUGAGCAUGUGUGAUAGUGAGCACGCUAAUGUGGAAAAAGGUUUACAUGUUUCUGUAAUGUAAAGGAACCACUGAAGCAUCUGUCUGUGUCUCUGUUUUAAUCAUAUCUCGUGGACCAUGAAGUUAGAGUCUGCUGUUAUGGCUCCACUGUUAUGCCUCCCAUCCCGUCACCUCCCAUCCCCAUAAAUGUGUGAAAAGUUGUAGAAAGAAAUAUACAAACAUAUGGUCCUACCCCUUUCUUCAUGAUUAACUAUAUGUGUAUUAUUGAAACUUGUUUGACAGGACCAUUAAUCCUUUUUAAUUUCAAUCCCAACCUUGGUAAUGAGGUAAUAUUUUUUGCCGUAUUGUCAAAGUUUAACAAAAGAUUAUCCGUUAUACAUCCCACGGCGGGAACAUUAGUAGCGUUACAGCUGCAAGGGGGAUAAUAUAAUAACAAGAAUAUCGGUUUAAAAAAAAAGCUAGAUAGGUCUAUAAUGAAUAAUUAAAAUUUGAAUUAUAAAACUGAAUUAAAAUGAUUACACAAAGGAAACGUUGGUAUUGGACAGUAAAACUGAUAUUGCGUACGAAUUGUCAGUUUUUGUGCGAGCGGUGCAGAGGGUGAAGCCCGACAGUAGUGACAGUAGAGAGAGUGCCGUCUCCUUCACGCUGUGGCCGAGGCCGUCUGUCACCCAACGAGCUGUUUCUAAUGACCCUGCAUGAGACGCCGCGGUGAGAACACGCGGGCGUGAGCGUACGGUGCGCUAAUUAUCGUCUAUUUCUGUGCCGUCACCAUGGCAAACGCACGUCUUUAACGUCAGCAAACAUCAUUUCGUAGCCGAGUGGUAUUAGAAUUCUCCUUCCCAUCUUACCUUGACCUCGGCGUAAAAAGUUGAAGGAUACGUGGUUUAACAGUAGUUAAGAGGUAUAAGGAAGUCAUGUUUUGAGUGUGUUGGUGUCUCUAUCCAUGGUGCUGAAACAUGCAGAUCCAGUUUCUCAGUGAGUUUCUAUCCAUGCUGCUGAAACAUGCAGGUCCGGUUUCUCAGUGAGUUUCUAUCCAUGGUGCUGAAACUUGCAGGUCAAGUUCCUCAAUGUGUUUCUAUCCAUGGUGCUGAAACACGCAGGUCCGGUUUCUCUGUGUUUCUAUCCAUGGUACUGAAACGUGUAGGUCCAGUUUCUCCCUGUGUUUCUAUCCAUGGUGCUGAAACACGCAGGUCCGGUUUCUCUGUGUUUCUAUCCAUGGUGCUGAAACGUGUAGGUCCAGUUUCUCCCUGUGUUUCUAUCCAUGGUGCUGAAACACGCAGGUCCGGUUUCUCUGUGUUUCUAUCCAUGGUGCUGAAACACGCGGGUCCAGUUUCUCCCUGUGUUUCUAUCCAUGGUACUGAAACGUGUAGGUCCAGUUUCUCCCUGUGUUUCUAUCCAUGGUGCUGAAACACGCGGGUCCGGUUUCUCAGUGAGUUUCUAUCCAUGGUACUGAAACGUGUAGGUCCAGUUUCUCCCUGUGUUUCUGUCCAUGGUGCUGAAACGUGUAGGUCCAGUUUCUCCCUGUGUCUCCGUCCCUGUGUUGAAUUAGGCUUGAGAGUCACUAAAACAACUCUUAUGUCAGAGCAAAGCAUGUUGUCAAGGCUUGUUGGAAAACUGUGUUUGUCAUGAUGGAUUUCAAAAGUCUCUUUUUCAUCAUGUGUAAAAGAUUUAAAAGAUGUUAUUGUUCUAUUAUUUGGAAAACAAUUAAGUAUGUGCAAAAAAUGUACAAAAUGUGCCUUUAUUAUGAAUAAAUAUUAACAAUACAAUGAAGGGCGCUUUCUAUCAUAUUUCCUACCAGAGGCACACUGCGACGUGAGUUAAGGGACUCAGGAUGUACCUGAGGAUGUACGCAGUGUCUCUAAGACAGAGGGUCUUUGUCAAUUUGAAUCAUUUCCAAGUUCGAUGACUGCCCCCUCAAGUCUUCCAGCCGCCUAAAUAUUUCCAAAUGUAUUACUCACAAGGCACUGCCGAUUGCAUUAGUCAUAUCUGGGCAGAUUGGAUUACGGCAAAGCCCUUUGACUUUAUCACUGUUGAUUUCCCUCAAGGCCACAGAAUGAACUUUAAUGAAUCUCCAUCUUUGACAAAACCCCUGCUGCGUGGUGCCUUAAUUUGACAUGCCACGGGCAAUGAAUGAGUCAAAAGCACAGACAUCUCAAAUGACUGAAGGUGGCAGGUUUUGACCCGAGUCGAUAAUUUCUGAUUAACUUUUGUCAAGACAAAGUCCUUCAUCAAAUAAAUUGCCAAAAGAGGUUUAGAUAUUUCAAGAAGUGACUCAGCUGAAGUGAGCUUUUUGCGGACACGUUUAACAAAGCCGGGUAUUUAGAAUAAAAGCUUCAUUCAGGACAAACCCUCUCACAAUAACUACAGUGUUAUAGUAGGAUAUAGUAGUUAGGACCCCUCUCAUCUUUUGCUGGUUGCUCGUUGCUAAUUACAUAAUUCUACUUUAUUACACUCAGUUGGCUAAGAGCAUUGCAUUGAUUCUCUGAAUGUUUGAUUAGAUCUCAGCUCUGCCCCACCUACAUAUACAUUUUCCAGGCGGCGUUGACCUAUUCUUCAACAUGAUGCAACUUCGUUGCAAUGUGAGUUAGAAUUCUUCUCGGCUGUUGCAGGGAUUAAAUCGGGGCUGCGUGAAGCAUCAAUAGCCGCCUCUUCGCUGACCUCCACACCGCACUCUGAGGUUACGUCCUAAUGGGACAAGCUUCAGUAAAUGUGUUUUAUGCUCAAAUUGCAGAUCCAAAUUUCCCAAUGAUGUAUGAUGGGAAACCGGGUAUCCUCCAUAUUUAACAUUUGUAGGUAGGUAGAACAUCAUUCUUUAGGCAUAUGAACUUGCCUUACGUUUCAAAAUAAAAUCCUAUUGGUGAAUUCCAUGCUUCCUAAAAUAGUAAAGUGUCUGAAGGCUGAUGUCACAUACAGCCAUGCUUUUCUCUUGAUAUUACAUUUGUCGACCAAUAAGCUUUUAUUCAUCAACAGUAUCAAAGCCAAAGAAGCGUGCUAACGGUUAUGUAUGUGCAUGUAUCCAAUGCGGUGUUCACGCGUCAAAAUAAAUUAUGUUUGAAGCAUGUUUGUUUUCACAGCAAAGGGAAAAUAUGAAGAGCCGUGUUGGAUUCCUAUUCAAGAAUGACUGUAUCUAUAUUUAAAUCCUAAUUCAGAGUUGAUUUGGAGUCUCUGGAGUCUCAGCUUCAUCAUCUCCAUCUUGAAACAGCUUGAGGCCAGAGACAUUAGAGACAGAUAUCUUGGAUUAGCAGCAGGCGAAGUAAAGAUGCAUUUUAAUGACUUCACGGCCGGCGUUGGCUGUGAUAAGCACUGCCCUAAGUGACUUCAGAUGUACUUACUGUAUGUUUUAACUCAGGAUGACCUACUGUCUCUCUCAUGCUCUAGUCUUGCCAAUGUAAAACUCUCCUAGUUUUUUCCCCCAUGCAGCUACUUUCCAAUCUGAUAACUUCAUGGAAAAUAAUCAUUUCACCAACUCUUGAGCCCGAGAAUGCAGAAUUGAUUAUUCUUUUUUUAGGCGCCACAUUUGUUUAUCUCAAUGGAGUGGGGACCGGUGAUGGUGACAGCAUGUCAAUUUCAAGAUCAAUUGUUGCCUCUGGCCUUUGCAUUGCAUUACCAUAGUAAUGACUUUUUGACCCUCCUUUCUAAUGUUUGAAGAUCUACAUCCGUAGUUGUGGAGACAAAAGGCGUACCUGAGCGGGAAGCGAAUUCUUCUGCACAGCACCUUUCACACAUCAACAGCAGAACGGACCGAUCCAAUGAAUGCUUAUGAACUACCGAGGCACAGAUCUGGAAAUGUCCUCCACUCACUACUGUCGAUAUUUGCAAAUGAUGUGGAGAAACUAAAUGGCCAUUCUAACUAUGGGGGCCUAAACGUUUCUACUUCAGAGAUUCCCCCCCCACCAGACUGCUGUGCUGUACUGAGCCACUGGUCCCCGAAGGACCAGUGGCUUAGUAUCUGCUGCAAAUUCUAAAAAUACUUAUAAAUUAUAUUCUUUAUUAUUACAAAACACAGAUGCAAAGAGUUACACAAUUUAAGAAAAUUACAUUUAAAUUGAAACAAUGAUUAUGAAAAGAAAAAUCUGUAAAAUGUUGUAAAACAUAAAUAUAAUCACACCCUGAUAACUUUAGGGGAAGGAUGUCGUCAGGGCCGAAUAACUGACUUAGAAUGUUUGAGAGAUUCUUCUUUGAUUCACAAAUUUGAUGAUAGAAAUUAGGUUUCCUUUGAGUGAUAAAGAAAUUAAACCAAAACUAAAAGUGCAUUUAAAGUACCUGCUUAUAUUUAUGCAACACAACUAACUGAAUGCGAGACGAGUAAAGGAACACGGCUGCUCAGCAAACCAAAGCUGGAAUCCGAUUUAAGGAGAGAUAAAUAUGGAAUGUUGAAUACGAGGGGUCUGAGGAUCGUAUGUAUCUCAUUGAUUCUGCAGCACACCCGUUUCUUUUAGAAGUAUCUUUUUAGUAUUUAGUAGUACCAGUGACGCCUCGACCAUGGUCUCGUAUUCACACCCUACAACAUUUCAUACAGUGCAUUCACGUGCUGUGGGCAUGGGAGCUUCGCUGGAAGGCAAGAGAAGUUUGUGUAGUUAAUAGGGUUAAGAAGGUGCUCUCUGAGAAUAUGGAAAGGGGCCCAAGUUAAAGAAAAUGAAAUAAAUAAAUAAGCGCCUAUUGAAAGAUGGCGGUGAGCCUGCCAUGCGAGAUGUCCCUCAGGAUGGAAACUCGCCUUCCCUGCCAGGCAGAUAUUUGGCAAUUAGAAAACUGUCAGCGAGCUUCAUUUGCUCCGAGACCAUCCCGCCCUCAAAUAACUGCACAUUCCUGGCCGGGUUGAAGUCGAAAGCUGCGUCGGCCGGCCGGGGAAGGAAUUACAUGCAGCGGACCAAGAGACGUCAACGGAAUAACGACACGUGGAAACUCGUACACAGCAGCUGGACGCAAUGGAUGCCCGCUGUCACAAUGUGGAAGACGAACAUAUCGAAAGUGUACACACAAUAUGCCAUUAGGGCUGUUUUCAAGCAUGUUGCUGGAGGUCGCGUGCGACGCGUCUGUAAUAUUUCACCCAGCGUAAAAUGGCAUCUGGUGGUUGUUAUGGCGAUGGUGGCAUCUCGAGAUCUUUCCCUUCGCUCCCAUUUGGCAGAUCAGUAACAAUCGC